GGGGCCCGCACAAGCAGCGGAGCGUGUGGUUUAAUUCGAUGCAACGCGAAGAACCUUACCAGGGUUUGACAUGCUUAAAGUAGGAACUCGAAAGAGGGACGACCUGUAUCCAGUCAGGAGUUUGCACAGGUGCUGCAUGGCUGUCGUCAGCUCGUGCCGUGAGGUGUUAGGUUAAGUCCUACAACGAGCGCAACCCUCGUCGCUAGUUGUUUUCUCUAGCGAUACUGCCCGUAUAACGUGGAGGAAGGUGGGGAUGACGUCAAGUCAGCAUGGCCCUUACAUCCUGGGCUACACACACGCUACAAUGGGUGAUACAACAGGUUGCAAUAGAGUAAUCUGGAGCCAAUCCCUAAAAUCAUCCUCAGUACGGAUUGCAGGCUGCAACUGCCUGCAUGAAGUUGGAGUUGCUAGUAAACGCAGGUCAGCACACUGCGUUGAAUACGUUCUCGGGCCUU
This 455-nucleotide ribosomal RNA is filed under the name uncultured Chloroflexota bacterium. RNAcentral's name for it is "bacterial SSU rRNA". It matches the Rfam family "Bacterial small subunit ribosomal RNA", at positions 916 to 1382 of the family's 1533-position model. The record is from RNAcentral. Lineage: Bacteria; Bacillati; Chloroflexota.